RNAcentral lists this long non-coding RNA (1179 nucleotides) under Brassica napus (rape). Its description in RNAcentral is "long non-coding RNA (BNAP_LNC012135)". Lineage: Eukaryota; Viridiplantae; Streptophyta; Magnoliopsida; Brassicales; Brassicaceae. The record is from RNAcentral.
CUUUCCUUUACCACGGUCCAAGUCUGUACCUGGAACCACAAACACAACACACAAGCAUAUGAUCAGAUAACCUAACACAAGGAUCUAUCAUUGCAUGGCUAGUUCCAUAACUAAUCAUCAAACUACACAUCAGGCCCUAAUCUAGCCGAUUUCAAAAGUGUUACAAAAACUAAAUAAAAUUCACUAAAACUCAUGAUAAAUCUCAACUAAGAGAUUCCCAUAAUCAGAAUCCAAUGAAUCGACCCGGAUCAUAUGUUUCUUUGUGGAUAAUUGAAAACUUAGAAUGUGUAUCUAGAGUAAUUUUUUAUAAGAUAAAUAUGAAAAUAGAGUAUAGUAGAGAACAAAGGGAGUCCAAGAUUUUCUCUCAUAAAUUGUUCAGAUCUCUCUCUCUCAAAGUUUAAACUCUCUUUAGAAAACAUAAUAUAUGGUUUAAAAAACAUAAUAUAUGGUUUAAAACAGCUAUUUUAAUAAAUGAAACUUGUAAACCAAAACUGUAAUUUUGGAACAUUUAAACAAAAAUAAUUAAAAAUUAGUGUCGCUGUUUCCUAGUAUACAUAUUUUGAUUGAUUAUAAAUUCAUGUAGUAUUUAUAAAUCCAAAUAAAAUAUGAAAAUUUUUAAAUUUUUUUGGAUUAGUAUUUACAAAUCUGGAGGUUUUCUCUCGGAUUUGAAUCAUUAUAUUUUUAACAAAAAAAUCCAAACAAAUCCAUUCAAAUCCAUUAUAAAAUAAAAUUUAUAAAUAAAUACGUACGGCUACGUGGAGCCGCAGCUGAUCAGCUUCUUCAACGGAGGUGUUAAUCUUCGUUAUCAGACUACGCUUGAUACAGCCAACGAGGGAAAUUUCAACACAAAGAGUCUAGAAAAUGCGAUUAGGCUGAUAGAGAACGUAGCUACCGUUAGAGCUUUCGAGAAAAUGAGCGAAAAACAAGGAAAUGGAGUCAAACCUAAUGCUGAUAUAGCUGAAAUUAGGGAAACCUCAGACUCGCUUUAUUCCCUUUUGACGGAUCAAAACGAAUCCCGAGUUUUCAAAAUAGAGGAUAAUAACCCGUCGAAUCUGGAAGGACAAACAAAACCCACAUAUGCAGUGGAUCUUCAUGAUCAGCACACUGGGUUUAGUGAUCUUAGCUUUACCCGAAGAUAUGAUGCGAUGAACAGCCCGUACAGGAAAAAGAUUAAAUCUA